This 500-nucleotide ribosomal RNA is filed under the name uncultured bacterium. Its description in RNAcentral is "bacterial SSU rRNA". It matches the Rfam family "Bacterial small subunit ribosomal RNA", at positions 997 to 1512 of the family's 1533-position model. The record is from RNAcentral.
GGAACCGAAAGGGGACCGACCUUCGGGAGCCAUGCCAGGUGCUGCAUGGCUGUCGUCAGCUCGUGUCGUGAGAUGUUCGGUUAAGUCCGGUAACGAGCGCAACCCCUGCCGGUAGUUACAAGUGUCUACCGGGACUGCCCGUAGAAAGCGGGAGGAAGGUGGGGAUGACGUCAAGUCAGCAUGGCCUUGAUGCCUAGGGCGACACACACGCUACAAUGGCCGGUACAAUGGGUCGCCAACCCGCGAGGGGGAGCCAAUCCAGUGAAAGCCGGUCUCAGUUCGGAUUGCAGGCUGCAACCCGCCUGCAUGAAGUCGGAGUUGCUAGUAACCGCAGGUCAGCAGUACUGCGGUGAAUACGUUCCCGGGCCUUGUACACACCGCCCGUCACGUCAUGGGAGCUGGACAUGCCUGAAGUCGGUGGGCUAACCGUAAGGAGGCAACCGCCAAAGGCAGGGCUGGUGACUGGGACGAAGUCGUAACAAGGUAGCUGUAGCGGAAGC